Molecule: long non-coding RNA, 1219 nt
Organism: Chelonia mydas (Green sea turtle)
Lineage: Eukaryota; Metazoa; Chordata; Testudines; Cheloniidae
Exons: 2
Source: RefSeq, a predicted model, not a curated record
CAAUAGGUAUAGUGACAGACAGGAACUCUCUGUUUACAUGGCUAACAUCUAACACGAUACAAUUAGUAUCACCUUCAAUUCUCUAACAAUACAGGUUUGCAUUUCAAAGUUCUAGCCUAUCUAGCAUGGAGUGGUCCUAAUUACCACUCCCAUACUUUUCUAAUACGUCUCUAAUGGUUGACUCUGGAUCAUUUAUUCUGCAGGAUGCUUAACUGUUUCUGGCCAUGCGUCACACUCUGCUCUCUCAUGAAGGUUUCAGAGGAUUGCCAAACUUCCAUACCAUCGAGCUGAGAUGAUCCAGAAACCAGACAUUUCAAUGGCAGAAGGUGGAGCUGGAAUCCAAGAGGUUAUCAGGAAGCUUCUUCCAUGAAGGUCAGGAAUACAAAUGUGGACAGCAUUUUUGGAAUGUGGACGAUGAUUUGUCUUGUCCUGUUUUUGUGCUGAAGCCAUCUGUUGCAUGUGAAGGAGAGUGGCAAGAGUUAAAUGAAUCAACAUUCCAACAUUGGUGUUGCCACAUUCUAUUGGAAUUCCACUGAAAUCAAAAUGGAACGUCAUGAAAUAGCUGGCAUGGCACCUAAUGAACUGCUUCUUGCCUGAUAAAUGCGACCACACUAUGUGACUGAGUCAGGUGAAAGUAACCAAGAGAAUUCAAGUCCUUCCAGAGCUGUUACAAAGAAGUGGGGAACUACAGUUAAGAAGAACCACCCCAUCCUGGAAAUAUGGUAUUUAAACCACCUUACCCAGAACUGCCUUCAAUGUUGGGGAAACAUAAUUUGCAAGAGAGAAAGGGAACUUUGUAGUUUUAAACACUGUAAUGGAGAGACUAGACACUCUCCGGAAUAAAGUGACAAACCAUCCCAACAUUUAGGGUAAUCUGGCUACAAUAAAUAUUGUUACUUGGCUUAUCAGGAUUAUACUGAAUGAUCUGGAUGCUUAGAUGCCUAUGAUCUGUCUCUCUGUAGCUCUCUGAAAAAUCCAAUCUGGGUCUUGGAGGAACACACGGAAAGCUGUGCAGUGUUCCCUGAUAGAGGAAUACAAGUUCUUGGGGUAUUGUUAUGGAUGUGCUCCUCUGCAAAAACCAUUGACUUUUCCCAAGGGAGGAGUAUCGUUCAUGAGACUAAUGUUAAGAUAUUGACUGUGAUCUCAUGUUUGUAAUCUUCAAACAGACAUAAACUCUCUGUGGACAUGGUCAUAUCAUUACAUAGUCUAACUUAAAGGA